This 311-nucleotide unclassified non-coding RNA is filed under the name Sagaranella tylicolor. Its description in RNAcentral is "partial internal transcribed spacer region". The stretch from base 1 to 46 matches the Rfam family "Eukaryotic small subunit ribosomal RNA", at positions 1786 to 1831 of the family's 1831-position model. Lineage: Eukaryota; Fungi; Basidiomycota; Agaricomycetes; Agaricales; Lyophyllaceae. The record is from RNAcentral. RNAcentral also lists the same sequence under 1 other name.
AAGUCGUAACAAGGUUUCCGUAGGUGAACCUGCGGAAGGAUCAUUAUUGAAUAAACUUGUUUGGGUUGUUGCUGGCUCUUAGGAGCAUGUGCACGCCUAACACAUCUUUAUAACCACCUGUGCACCUUUUGUAGACCUAAGAUAAACUCUCGAGGCAACUCGGUUUGAGGGGCUGCUGUGCGAAAGCCAGCUCUCCUUGUAUCUUCAGGUCUAUGUUUUUAUAUACCCCAUAAGAAUGUAACAGAAUGUCUUUUACUGGCCUUUGUGCCUUUAAUCAAAUACAACUUUCAACAACGGAUCUCUUGGCUCUC